UACGAAGGGGGCUAGCGUUGUUCGGAAUUACUGGGCGUAAAGCGCGUGUAGGCGGGUCUUUAAGUCAGGGGUGAAAUGCCAAGGCUCAACCUUGGAACUGCCUUUGAUACUGGAGAUCUUGAGUCCGGGAGAGGUGAGUGGAACUGCGAGUGUAGAGGUGAAAUUCGUAGAUAUUCGCAAGAACACCAGUGGCGAAGGCGGCUCACUGGCCCGGAACUGACGCUGAGACGCGACAGCGUGGGGAUCAAACAGG
Molecule: ribosomal RNA, 253 nt
Filed under: uncultured bacterium
Lineage: Bacteria
Description: partial 16S ribosomal RNA
Rfam family: Bacterial small subunit ribosomal RNA
Source: RNAcentral